UACGUAGGGUGCAAGCGUUAAUCGGAAUUACUGGGCGUAAAGCGUGCGCAGGCGGUUAUGCAAGACAGAUGUGAAAUCCCCCGGGCUCAACCUGGGAACUGCAUUUGUGACUGCAUGGCUGGAGUGUGGCAGAGGGAGGUGGAAUUCCACGUGUAGCGGUGAAAUGCGUAGAGAUGUGGAGGAACACCGAUGGCGAAGGCAGCCUCCUGGGCCACAC
Molecule: ribosomal RNA, 217 nt
Filed under: uncultured bacterium
Lineage: Bacteria
Description: partial 16S ribosomal RNA
Rfam family: Bacterial small subunit ribosomal RNA
Source: RNAcentral